RNAcentral lists this ribosomal RNA (356 nucleotides) under uncultured Cellulomonas sp. Its description in RNAcentral is "bacterial SSU rRNA". It matches the Rfam family "Bacterial small subunit ribosomal RNA", at positions 1028 to 1382 of the family's 1533-position model. The record is from RNAcentral. Lineage: Bacteria; Bacillati; Actinomycetota; Actinomycetes; Micrococcales; Cellulomonadaceae.
CGGUGUACAGGUGGUGCAUGGUUGUCGUCAGCUCGUGUCGUGAGAUGUUGGGUUAAGUCCCGCAACGAGCGCAACCCUCGUCCUAUGUUGCCAGCGGGUCAUGCCGGGGACUCAUGGGAGACUGCCGGGGUCAACUCGGAGGAAGUGGGGAUGACGUCAAAUCAUCAUGCCCCUUAUGUCUUGGGCUUCACGCAUGCUACAAUGGCCGGUACAAAGGGCUGCGAUACCGGCGAGGUGGAGCGAAUCCCAGAAAGCCGGUCUCAGUUCGGAUUGGGGUCUGCAACUCGACCCCAUGAGGUCGGAGUCGCUAGUAAUCGCAGAUCAGCAACGCUGCGGUGAAUACGUUCCCGGGCCUU